GAUGAACGCUGGCGGCGUGCUUAACACAUGCAAGUCGAACGGAAAGGCCCAAGCUUGCUUGGGUCCUCGAGCGGCGAACGGGUGAGUAACACGUGGGUGAUCUGCCCUGCACUUCGGGAUAAGCCUGGGAAACUGGGUCUAAUACCGGAUAGGACCACAUUUUGGAUGGUGUGGUGGAAAGUUUUUCGGUGUGGGAUGAGCUCGCGGCCUAUCAGCUUGUUGGUGGGGUAAUGGCCUACCAAGGCGUCGACGGGUAGCCGGCCUGAGAGGGUGUACGGCCACAUUGGGACUGAGAUACGGCCCAGACUCCUACGGGAGGCAGCAGUGGGGAAGAUUGCACAAUGGGCGCAAGCCUGAUGCAGCGACGCCGCGUGGGGGAUGACGGCCUUCGGGUUGUAAACGCCUUUCGCUAGGGACGAAGCGUUAUGUGACGGUACCUGGAGAAGAAGCACCGGCUAACUACGUG
RNAcentral lists this ribosomal RNA (466 nucleotides) under uncultured bacterium. RNAcentral's name for it is "partial 16S ribosomal RNA". It matches the Rfam family "Bacterial small subunit ribosomal RNA", at positions 28 to 507 of the family's 1533-position model. The record is from RNAcentral.